Molecule: transfer RNA, 75 nt
Filed under: Candidatus Woesearchaeota archaeon
Lineage: Archaea; Nanobdellati; Candidatus Woesearchaeota
Description: tRNA-Arg
Rfam family: tRNA
About the family: Transfer RNA (tRNA) molecules are approximately 80 nucleotides in length.
Source: RNAcentral
GCGCCUGUAGCUCAGCCUGGAUAGAGUGGCACCCUCCUAAGGUGAAGGUCCGGGGUUCAAAUCCUCGCAGGCGCG